UUUGUAGACGUAGUGUUUCUUUGGUGGUGGUGGAGAAUGGUAAACUGGAGGGGGAGAGUAGUGCUUAACCGGAGGAGGAGGUGAUUUGUAGACGUAGUGUUUCUUGGGUGGGGGUGGAGAGUGAUAAACCGGUGGGGGAGAGUAGUGUUUGACUGGAGGAGGAGGUGACUUGUACACGUAGUGUUUCUUUGGUGGGGGUGGAGAGUGAUAAACCGGUGGGGGAGAGUAGUGAUUAACGGGAGGAGGGGGAGACUUGUACACGUAGUGUUUCUUGGGUGGUGGUGGAGAGUGGUAAACCGGAGGAGGAGAGUAGUGUUUAACCGGAGGAGGAGGUGACUUGUACACGUAGUGCUUCUUGGGUGGGGGUGGGGAAUGGUAUACCGGUGGAGGUGAGUAGUGUUUAACCGGUGGAGGAGAGUAGUGUUUGACCGGAGGAG
Molecule: long non-coding RNA, 437 nt
Filed under: Capsella grandiflora
Lineage: Eukaryota; Viridiplantae; Streptophyta; Magnoliopsida; Brassicales; Brassicaceae
Description: long non-coding RNA (CGRA_LNC000422)
Source: RNAcentral